AUUGAACGCUGGCGGCAUGCCUUACACAUGCAAGUCGAACGGCAGCACGGGUGCUUGCACCUGGUGGCGAGUGGCGAACGGGUGAGUAAUACAUCGGAACAUGUCCUGUAGUGGGGGAUAGCCCGGCGAAAGCCGGAUUAAUACCGCAUACGAUCCACGGAUGAAAGCGGGGGACCUUCGGGCCUCGCGCUAUAGGGUUGGCCGAUGGCUGAUUAGCUAGUUGGUGGGGUAAAGGCCUACCAAGGCGACGAUCAGUAGCUGGUCUGAGAGGACGACCAGCAAGAAGAGGAAGGAGAAACGGCAAAGAAAACUAAGGGAGAAGAAAGGGGGGAAUUUAGGAAAAGGGGGAAAAGCGGGAAAAAGAAAUGCGGGGGGUGAAAAGAAGACAUGGGGGUUAAAAAACAGUUUGGAAGGAAAAAAAAUCCUGACAUCAAAUACAGGCGGGGGAGGAGGGAACAGAAAAAAAAAGAACCGGAAAAAUAGGGA
RNAcentral lists this ribosomal RNA (486 nucleotides) under uncultured bacterium. RNAcentral describes it as "partial 16S ribosomal RNA". The stretch from base 20 to 326 matches the Rfam family "Bacterial small subunit ribosomal RNA", at positions 47 to 358 of the family's 1533-position model. The record is from RNAcentral.